RNAcentral lists this ribosomal RNA (1372 nucleotides) under uncultured bacterium. RNAcentral describes it as "bacterial SSU rRNA". It matches the Rfam family "Bacterial small subunit ribosomal RNA", at positions 28 to 1381 of the family's 1533-position model. The record is from RNAcentral.
GAUGAACGCUGGCGGCGUGCCUAAUACAUGCAAGUCGAGCGAACGGACGAGAAGCUUGCUUUUCUGAUGUUAGCGGCGGACGGGUGAGUAACACGUGGAUAACCUACCUAUAAGACUGGGAUAACUUCGGGAAACCGGAGCUAAUACCGGAUAAUAUUUUGAACCGCAUGGUUCAAAAGUGAAAGACGGUCUUGCUGUCACUUAUAGAUGGAUCCGCGCUGCAUUAGCUAGUUGGUAAGGUAACGGCUUACCAAGGCAACGAUGCAUAGCCGACCUGAGAGGGUGAUCGGCCACACUGGAACUGAGACACGGUCCAGACUCCUACGGGAGGCAGCAGUAGGGAAUCUUCCGCAAUGGGCGAAAGCCUGACGGAGCAACGCCGCGUGAGUGAUGAAGGUCUUCGGAUCGUAAAACUCUGUUAUUAGGGAAGAACAUAUGUGUAAGUAACUGUGCACAUCUUGACGGUACCUAAUCAGAAAGCCACGGCUAACUACGUGCCAGCAGCCGCGGUAAUACGUAGGUGGCAAGCGUUAUCCGGAAUUAUUGGGCGUAAAGCGCGCGUAGGCGGUUUUUUAAGUCUGAUGUGAAAGCCCACGGCUCAACCGUGGAGGGUCAUUGGAAACUGGAAAACUUGAGUGCAGAAGAGGAAAGUGGAAUUCCAUGUGUAGCGGUGAAAUGCGCAGAGAUGUGGAGGAACACCAGUGGCGAAGGCGACUUUCUGGUCUGUAACUGACGCUGAUGUGCGAAAGCGUGGGGAUCAAACAGGGUUAGAUACCCUGGUAGUCCACGCCGUAAACGAUGAGUGCUAAGUGUUAGGGGGUUUCCGCCCCUUAGUGCUGCAGCUAACGCAUUAAGCACUCCGCCUGGGGAGUACGACCGCAAGGUUGAAACUCAAAGGAAUUGACGGGGGCCCGCACAAGCGGUGGAGCAUGUGGUUUAAUUCGAAGCAACGCGAAGAACCUUACCAAAUCUUGACAUCCUUUGACAACUCUAGAGAUAGAGCCUUCCCCUUCGGGGGACAAAGUGACAGGUGGUGCAUGGUUGUCGUCAGCUCGUGUCGUGAGAUGUUGGGUUAAGUCCCGCAACGAGCGCAACCCUUAAGCUUAGUUGCCAUCAUUAAGUUGGGCACUCUAAGUUGACUGCCGGUGACAAACCGGAGGAAGGUGGGGAUGACGUCAAAUCAUCAUGCCCCUUAUGAUUUGGGCUACACACGUGCUACAAUGGACAAUACAAAGGGCAGCGAAACCGCGAGGUCAAGCAAAUCCCAUAAAGUUGUUCUCAGUUCGGAUUGUAGUCUGCAACUCGACUACAUGAAGCUGGAAUCGCUAGUAAUCGUAGAUCAGCAUGCUACGGUGAAUACGUUCCCGGGUCU